UACGUAGGGGCUAGCGUUGUCCGGAAUCAUUGGGCGUAAAGCGCGCGUAGGUGGCUUCGUAAGUCCGUUGUGAAAGUCAAAGGCUCAACCUUUGAAAGCCGAUGGAUACUGCGGAGCUAGAGUACGGAAGAGGCGAGUGGAAUUCCUGGUGUAGCGGUGGAAUGCGCAGAUAUCUGGAGGAACACCGGUGGCGAAGGCGGCAUCCUGGACCAACACUGACACUGAGGAGCGAAAGCCAGGGAGCAACGGG
Molecule: ribosomal RNA, 250 nt
Filed under: uncultured bacterium
Lineage: Bacteria
Description: partial 16S ribosomal RNA
Rfam family: Bacterial small subunit ribosomal RNA
Source: RNAcentral